RNAcentral lists this long non-coding RNA (244 nucleotides) under Capsicum annuum. Its description in RNAcentral is "long non-coding RNA (CANN_LNC019224)". The record is from RNAcentral. Lineage: Eukaryota; Viridiplantae; Streptophyta; Magnoliopsida; Solanales; Solanaceae.
AUUUUUAAUAGAUAAAGUUUUAUUUUUAAAAAAAAAAAAGUUGUGAUGACUAAAAUACAAGCAACAACUCAAAUUUUUUUAUAAUGAGAGUUUCUUAUAUUGAUAAUUCUUAUCGCUAAAAUAUUUGUAUUGAAAAAGUAAAUGUUAAAUCAUAGUCUAAAAAAUUAAUAUUUUAAUAGUGUAGCUUAAAAUAUAAUUAAGGAAAAAUGGUCAAAAGCCCCUCCAACCUUUACCCCAAAUCUCA